Molecule: ribosomal RNA, 462 nt
Filed under: uncultured bacterium
Lineage: Bacteria
Description: partial 16S ribosomal RNA
Rfam family: Bacterial small subunit ribosomal RNA
Source: RNAcentral
GAUGAACGCUGACAGAAUGCUUAACACAUGCAAGUCAUUGGCGAAGCUGCGCUUGCGCAGUCUAGCCAAGGCGGACGGGUGAGUAACGCGUAAGGAACUUGCCCUGCAGACAUGGAUAACAGACGGAAACGACUGAUAACACCCGGUAUUGUCAGGCUGGCGCAUGCCGGCCUGAUGAAAGGAGACGCUGCAGGAGAGCCUUGGGUCCUAUUAGCUAGUUGGUGGGGUAACGGCCCACCAAGGCGAGGAUAGGUAGCCGGCCUGAGAGGGUGAACGGCCACAAGGGGAAUGAGAUACGGCCGUGACGACUACGGGAGGCAGCAGUGGAGAAUAUUGGACAAUGGGGGCAACCCUGAUCCAGCAAUUCUGUGUGCACGAAGAAGGUUUUCGGAGUGUAAAGUGCUUUCAGCAGGGAAGAAGAAAGUGACGGUACCUGCAGAAGAAGCGACGGCUAAAUACGUG